UCCUCAUUAGCUCAGUUGGUUAGAGCACCUGACUGUUAAUCAGGGGGUCCUAGGUUCAAGUCCUAGAUGGGGAG
RNAcentral lists this transfer RNA (74 nucleotides) under Bacteroides sp. RNAcentral describes it as "tRNA-Asn". It matches the Rfam family "tRNA". From Rfam's summary of the family: Transfer RNA (tRNA) molecules are approximately 80 nucleotides in length. Their secondary structure includes four short double-helical elements and three loops (D, anti-codon, and T loops). The record is from RNAcentral. Lineage: Bacteria; Pseudomonadati; Bacteroidota; Bacteroidia; Bacteroidales; Bacteroidaceae. RNAcentral also lists the same sequence under 2 other names.